ACUCCUACGGGAGGCAGCAGUGGGGAAUAUUGCACAAUGGGGGAAACCCUGAUGCAGCCAUGCCGCGUGUGUGAAGAAGGCCUUCGGGUUGUAAAGCACUUUCAGUAGGGAGGAAGGUAGUGUAGUUAACACCUGCAUUAUUUGACGUUACCUACAGAAGAAGCACCGGCUAACUCCGUGCCAGCAGCCGCGGUAAUACGGAGGGUGCGAGCGUUAAUCGGAAUUACUGGGCGUAAAGCGCAUGCAGGCGGCCUGUUAAGUCAGAUGUGAAAGCCCGGGGGCUUAACCUCGGAAUUGCAUUUGAAACUGGCAGGCUAGAGUCUUGUAGAGGGGGGUAGGAAUUUCAGGUGUAGCGGUGAAAUGCGUAGAGAUCUGAAGGAAUACCAGUGGCGAAGGCGGCCCCCUGGACAAAGACUGACGCUCAGAUGCGAAAGCGUGGGGAGCAAACAGGAUUAGAUACCCUGGUAGGAUAGCC
RNAcentral lists this ribosomal RNA (475 nucleotides) under uncultured bacterium. RNAcentral describes it as "bacterial SSU rRNA". It matches the Rfam family "Bacterial small subunit ribosomal RNA", at positions 335 to 801 of the family's 1533-position model. The record is from RNAcentral.